RNAcentral lists this transfer RNA (64 nucleotides) under Escherichia coli P02997067.6. RNAcentral describes it as "partial tRNA-Gln". It matches the Rfam family "tRNA", at positions 2 to 64 of the family's 71-position model. Rfam says of the family: Transfer RNA (tRNA) molecules are approximately 80 nucleotides in length. Their secondary structure includes four short double-helical elements and three loops (D, anti-codon, and T loops). Lineage: Bacteria; Pseudomonadati; Pseudomonadota; Gammaproteobacteria; Enterobacterales; Enterobacteriaceae. The record is from RNAcentral. RNAcentral also lists the same sequence under 4 other names.
GGGGUAUCGCCAAGCGGUAAGGCACCGGAUUCUGAUUCCGGCAUUCCGAGGUUCGAAUCCUCGU